AACUGUCACAUGUAAAAUUUCGACGCCUUCGGUUGUUCCCGCUCGAAUGUUGGAAUAGAGUUAAUAUACAUCUAGAUAUAAGUGUUUAAUAUGCUUAUCAACUAUCCAAGUGUCAUGGUCUCGUUAUAAACAAGUAUACGGCUCAAGACCACAGUUAUCUGCCCCCCGUUGACCAAGAUCCGGAUGUGAAUACAGAAACAAAGAGUGCUUGUGUUCAAGUAUCAAUAUUUUAUUAAAAUUGAAUGAAAAAGAAGCAAAAAAUGUUCUUUUUGCAGAGAACUUGACUGAAUUUGACACUCUAUUGCAGAAAUUGAUAGUUUUCAAUGUAAAUAUUGGAAAAAUCAUAGCUUGUGGAAGUCUGAAAAUUAGUUGUUUGUAGCCGAUUGACUCCCUGGCGUAAGGGUUAUGUAUUUGAACUCAAUUUUGACAGUCGGGUCAAUGGUCAACAUGGUGUUUUCUUGUGAUUAUAUUUUGUGUCUUGAAUUGUUCUAGAGAUGCCAUGUCCUUGUUUUUCAAUUGGGGUGUGUAUAAAGUCAAAAGCCAGGUUAGUGUCUAUAUGAAACAUAUAGUAAAAAUAACUGUGGUCUCACGCCUGAUAUAGAGGAAGCUUUUGGAGGGGUGGCCUAUUUUAAAUUGUUAUAAAUUCUUAAUUUAUACAGCUAUCUGGUUGAAAUUUGGCCAGUUGACAGUGCUUAGCCAUAGAAUAUUGGUGUUUGAGUAUGAAAUGUGAAAAUCUUAUAUUACAUAAUAUAAAUUAAUAAUAUAUAAUUUUCUUAUAUAUUUUUGACAUUUAAAAAAAAAACUACUUUCACUUUCAAUUUAAUGUUUGGAAAUAGUUCCAAAUGAUGGUAACUAAUGAAUGAAAGCCUCACUUUCAAUUCCAAAGUAUAAAUGGAGGGAUUUUUUUAACAUAGGAAGCAGACCCAGGAGGAACUGUCUGUUGAAGACCCCCCCCCCCACCAAGCUGCCCACCAGAGGCCAAGCUGUACUUGGUGUUUGCCAACAUGCUGUAAUUUGUAAGUACUUCAAGAUAAUAUAUUAGAAAAUGGUAUCCAAACUGAAGUACAAAGUGAGACAGUUUGGUCAUAAAAGCCCAUUGAGACUGUUCCAUUCCUAAAUGAAUUUCUUUCAUGUUGUCAAUCAUUUCUGAUGUGGCUUUGAUAAUAAUAUUAUUUUCUAAUGAAACUGCUGACUUGUAUCAGUCUUUUGUCUGUAUUGUGCAUCUAUUCACACAUUUUGUUUGCUCUUUUAAGCAAACAUUACAAUAAUUGCAAAUUCUAUAAGCAAUUAAACAAAACUUACUGCACAUAGGAUGCAGAAUGAUGUUUUAUUUAGUGUGCAUAUGAUUUUCAGCUUAUGGACAAGAAAACAUAUACUUUAACAAUCACAGCAACACAAUGAGAUCCCAAUUUUAAAGAAAUAAUGCCACCUUUCAUUAAUUCAUUAAUUCAUUCUAUCAAUCAUUCAUAUAUAUAUUCAUUAAUUCAUUCAUUUAUUCAAUUUAUUCAUUGAAAAACUUGACAUUUCUCAAGGCAAAAUAAAUAAAAAGUGAGCAGCUUUCAUAAAGAAUAGAGCCUUUUCCCUUAAUGCAUUAAAAAACACAACCUUAAUACAGUAUAAAUGUUUUAAAAACCCUAAUUUAUUGCUUAUUUUAAUAGCCAGCCUGGUUGCUGUAGCCACAGAGGAAUUUUCAAGGACAAGAACCAGUGCUGGUAAAACUGUGGUCUCUGUGGUUUUCCAUACCGGCUCUCGGCAAGGAUUUUCAAGAAAGGAAUACCAUCUCCAAAUCAUGAUGUGUCAAUAAGCUCCAGUUAGCUGCGGCCUUUUCCCCAGGCGGUAGUCCUGCAAUCUGAAUCCAGGAGAUGCAGCUCUGAAUCCAAUAUUUCAGAAGAAUGAAGAUGAAGCAGACCCAGGAGGAACUGUCUGUUGAAGACCCC
This is a long non-coding RNA of Mya arenaria, 1937 nucleotides long. RefSeq lists it as uncharacterized. NCBI's taxonomy places the organism in Eukaryota, Metazoa, Mollusca, Bivalvia, Myida, Myidae. The record is from RefSeq and is a predicted model, not a curated record. The transcript is spliced from 3 exons.